GUUGUGGCUCAGUGGUAGAGUGCUCACCUAGCAUAUGUGAAGCACUGGGUUCAAUCCUCAGCAUCACA
RNAcentral lists this transfer RNA (68 nucleotides) under Marmota monax (woodchuck). Its description in RNAcentral is "tRNA.Ala". Lineage: Eukaryota; Metazoa; Chordata; Mammalia; Rodentia; Sciuridae. The record is from RNAcentral.